RNAcentral lists this long non-coding RNA (279 nucleotides) under Trifolium pratense (red clover). RNAcentral describes it as "long non-coding RNA (TPRA_LNC000796)". The record is from RNAcentral. Lineage: Eukaryota; Viridiplantae; Streptophyta; Magnoliopsida; Fabales; Fabaceae.
UUUUGUUACGGUAAACAACACAUGCAGAACGGAUGAAAUUGUUUUGAAACGAAACAAAUUUCACUUGAUAUCCAAAGCACAACAAGAAGUAACAUUGGAUAGGGCAAAACUAAUAACAAUAGAAAAGAAACAAAUGGUUGCUCAAAAUUAUUAACCCAUUUGAAUAUUCCAAGAAGAAAGUAACAAUAUCAUCCCAUGAACUGAAAUUCAUAGAUCAAUCACCGAAAAGGUCUAACCUUGGGUAACAAAAUCAAUAUUAGGCAUGUUUGAAAGAAAAAA